UGCUUGUUUCAGCAGUAAUGUAAUUAAACUGGAGUGAUACAGAGAAGAUUAGCAUGGCCCCUGCACGAGGAUGACACGAAAAUUUGUGAACCAUUUCAUACUUUU
Molecule: small nuclear RNA, 105 nt
Organism: Prolemur simus (greater bamboo lemur)
Lineage: Eukaryota; Metazoa; Chordata; Mammalia; Primates; Lemuridae
Source: Ensembl